This is a non-coding RNA of Peromyscus maniculatus bairdii (prairie deer mouse), 5878 nucleotides long. NCBI's taxonomy places the organism in Eukaryota, Metazoa, Chordata, Mammalia, Rodentia, Cricetidae. The record is from RefSeq and is a predicted model, not a curated record.
AGCUUCCAAGAGUGUGUCCUGUGGUCCUGUGCAGCAUGACCAUGAGCAGCUCAUGAGCAGCACCCUGCAGAAGAGAAUCAAGGUUUUCAAGAGUGUGUCCUGUGGUCCUGAGCAGCAUGAGCAGCUCCUGAGCGGCAGCCUGCAGAAGAAAAACAUGGCUUCCAAGGGUGUGUCCUGUGGUCCUGUGCAGCAUGACCAUGAACAGCUCCUGGGUUUUCUUUCUGAAAACCACAUCUCCCAGGUGGAGCCCCAGAGUGAAAAUACCCCUAUGUGCAGCUCAUCCAUCCAGGAUACACCAUCUACAAGGAGCUCCAAAGAGGGCCCUCAGGAUGUGACCACCACAGACACUCAUCCCAAGGACAGGAGCUUGUCCCCCCAGGAAACAUCUGAACCAAACCUCACCAGUGCCCAACCCCAGAGAAUGACCACAGCCUUUCCUCACAAUCUAUGGGGUGGAUGGAAGAGGGUGAAGAGGAGAAUUGUGAAGUGUUUACGGAGAUUAUGCUGCUGUUUGCCAGCCCAAAGGAGAAGCUGCACUUCCCAGAGGAGAGUGGCUCCACUGGAAGGAGGGGACAGUGGAGUCACAUAGAACCAGGUGGAGGGGGAAGAGUGGAGUCACACAAAACCAGGACAGUGCCAGCGAGCUGGAGAAGAAUGCGUGUCACUUUGGCUGGACUCCUGAGAUGGUGCUCCACUUUGAAGAGAUGCUCCAGAAAGCCUGCCUGAGCAGAUUGCAAAAGUGUCUCAGCGGAGCCUUGAGAAAUGAAUGCUCAUCUGUGCCAGGCAGCUGGGCUGAAUCUCUUGAGAAGGGCAAUGACCAUGGACCCCCACCCCCUGUGCCAGGUCACUGCUAAUGUGAAGGUACUAUUGGACCAUCUCUCCCUGCCCACAUUAAAAAAAAAAAAAAGGCCCUGCUGGACACAGACCAACCUCAUGGUCACAGAAAAUACGCUAUUACUUUCAAGCCAGGCUGGACAACUCCCUGCUUCUGCCUAGCAGUAUAGGUCAAGAGGAAGCAGGGUUGGAUCUCAGAACGGGCCUAACACCUAACAACAGCUUAGGAGAGCAACCAGUAGAGAAUGUCCUGAAUCCAUGACUCCAGAUGCCAGAGGCCUAUUUUCCAGAGGAGCUCACAGAGAUGGGCAGAGAGAAGUUUGCAGAUUAACAGGCAUCACUCAGGGAUCAAAGAAAACCGUCAUCAGUGGUUAGUCUAAACAGUAGGACAAAGAUGGAGCAUGCCCUGGUGUGUUCUAUCGAUUGUAUCAGCAUCACUGUGUCCCAGUGUCGGACUGUGGCUUGUGUGCUUUCUGCUUUUGAGGAUUUCCUUCAGCACAUUAUGAAGAAGAACCUGUAUUCACAGUCGUUCCAGUGGACUACAAGGAGAGAGCAAUCCAUCGUGACUCAUUCCUCUGCUUGUGUUCAUUGGGAAUUUUAUUCCUGUCCUCAGGUGUGAAGAGGAUGACACCACUGCUUAGUGAUGAAGCUUUUCUCUUUAGCCCUCAUAGGCUUUUACAAGCACACGACCAGGAUUAGUGUUGUUGGAGUGAAUUAAGACGGAGGACAUGCCAGGAGUGGACUGCAGCAUGAGGACUAUACUAUACCACUGAGAUGAGGGUGGGCAUCAAACACUGUGAGCGCUGUCUUAACCACUCCAGUUGAUUAAAUGAGGUCAAAGACCACAGGUUUGCCCACAAAGCAUCUCUAGUGAUGUUUCAGCUGAGGAUUCAGCAAAUGGCCCACAGUCUCGGCACAGAUUCAAUACAGACUGAGGGGCCUUAAGAAAACCCCAGGAGGUGUCUUGAUAGCCAGUUCUCACUGAAGUUACCCUCUGCCCCGAGCCUCCCGUGAGACCCACAUCUGGCUAAUGCUUAACUUGAGCAGACUUAGCCAGGCUAGCUGGUGUCUUGGGUCUUUGGUCAUAAUGGUCAAGAGCCCACAAACAAGGACUUCUCACCAAUCCUCCCAGUGCACAUAAGGCUUGAAGAGCUUCCUUCAACUGAGGAUUAUCAUAAACGUGAUGCUUUCCUAGCUGGGCUUGGCAGUAUAGGUGUAGUCCUAUCCGUGAUGAAUAUGGGAGGUUCCGGGCUAAAACAGGAGGAUUGUCAGCUCAACCCUGCUUGGGCCACAGUGAAUUCAGGGCCAGCCUGCACAACAUAGCAUAGCACUAUCUAAACUAAAAUGUAUAAGGAGGACUGGAGAUGCAGCUCAGUGGCAGAAUGCUUGCCUGGCCUGUGGAUGUUCUGGUCUCGAUCCCAGCAAAGGAAAUGGACAUCAACAGGGCUUCCUGGAAGCAGGGCCUCCUGUCGCUGUCGGAGGGCAUAGCAUGCGAAUGAUUGCAAGUUGAGGUCCAGUUGAUGCUGUCAGCUGAACACUUCCCAGCUGACUGUGGCUUUUCCCCUGGAAGCCAGAUCUUGCUGUCAAACCACACAUUCAAAAAGGCCCAACCCCUGAGAACUGGGCUAGCCUUGGCACCUGUGCCAUGAAGGAAGCAGAAGAAGCUCCCCGAGAAAAAUGCAAUCUACAGGCUAAUUCUAGAGACUGGAAUCUUAGUAGAAGAUUCUGGGAGCCUCACCAGCCAGUGCAUGAUGUCUGUAUACUUCUGCAUGGCUUCAGGAAGGAUCUCUGAGUGUCUUGGUCUCUGGUGACUGCUGAUAUCUGGAGGCAAGCAGGCUCAAAGCAACUGCACUCGUGACCAUGGACUGAAACUACUGAAACUGUGAGCUCAAACCAACCCUCCUUGCAAGUUGAUUUUCUCAGGGACUUAUUCACAGAGCUGCAGAGCUAACAGGCACCUUCUUGUGCCUUGCCAAGCUGCCACUCCACUUGGUGCAUCAUGUGGUACUACUGUUUCUCAUAAUAAAGUGGUUGAGAUGGAGGCAAUCCUCAUGGCCAGCCCCAUGAAGAGGGCAUCCUUCAAAAUGAUUACAAAAUCUACUGUCCCUGGGCUGUGGCACAUUUUGGAAGGCAAAGCUGGUGUGCCGCAUUCUCACACAUACACAAGUAACUGUCGAGGCCCUUGAAAAAAGCAACAAUGACUUGUUGGCAUCACCUCUGAAGCAGAAUUCAUAAAUCCUUAGAACAUUAUAAAAAUUUUUAUAUGAUCAAUAUACCAUUAACCACUUAUAUGACAAUGGAAUGUGUGGUGGCAGAAGACCCAGAGAGGUGCCUAAGGGAGCUGGGCUGUAUACAAGGGCAGGCACUACAAAGUUUCCAACAGGUCAUGUCAGUGGUUCACUUCCUCCACCAAAGACACAUCCACGGGAAUAUCAAAUUAGGAAAACAUUCUGGUGGAUGCAGUAGGAAAUGCAGAAAUUUGCCACUUCAGCAUGGCAGCUAAAUCCACAAAGGGCAGAUGUUGGGGAAGGUCUGUAGCUUCCUGCUCUACCUGGCCCCAGAUAUCUUGGCAGGAAAACUGUGUAACAGCCGUGCAGCUGAUGUGGAGCUUGGGCAUCCUUCUCUGUGUCAUAGAGCACUUUCCAUACUUAGAAACAAGUCCUUCAGGUAUACACCAGCUCAUCACCAACACAAUGUAUUAUCUUCCCUGUCAUCUGUCCCAAACCAACCAAAUUAUUAUCGAAAGAUUAUAUUGGUACAUGAUAGUAGGUCAUCUCAUGGAACACCUAACAUGCCUAACACCCAGGGCUGCCUUGAGAAGAUGCCCUGCCUGGGUACCACAGACAUGGAAGGCAAUGUGACGACUGUUGACAUCAAUAGCAAUUUUCUGAGGGGUAUUGCAGUUACCAAGGCUUUGAGUGAUACUCUACCUGAUGAGCACUUCCUACCAGAGUCAGCCCCGGAUGCAACAACCACAGAGUUAAAUGAAAAAAAACCAAAAAACAAAAAACAAGGGCUUGUGCCCUGUAGAAUCAUCAACAGGGCCAGCCAUGCCCAGUGACCAGGCCAGGUUGAAUCUACAGGCUCUGGAUCCAAGUAACUAGGGCUGGAAGGGGACGAGGAGUCGAAUUACUCGAGUACGAGAACACUUUGCUGCUGCCUGCCCACCCAAAGCGGUGAAGGGGAGAGGCCUGGGUGAACUGCACUCCCGGUGUGGAUGGACCCCACAGGAGGAAGCAGCCCAGAACUCCAGUGUGCUGGCCCACACACAGGGCACAGGCUCCUGCAGCCAUCCUCCAGCCCUUGGGUCUUUGCUUCCAGCUCCCUGCUUGCUUGCUCAGCCCAGCACUGCUUGCAACACAGAUAGGAGGUCUCGCGUGACAUCUGCCUGAUGAAGGUCCACCUCCCCAGCUCCUGCAGAACACCUACUUCUGGAAGCAAAACUGACUGACAUACAGGUCUCGAGCUUCUCAUCUGCUUGGUCCCUUCAUCCCUUCAAUCUUCUCUCUCACUAACUCCUUUGGGACAGAAAUGGAUAAUCUAAGUGUGAGUCCAGUCAGAGGAGGGAAGGGAAAGACGGGCAUAAAGAAAUAGAGGAGAAGAGGGGAAAGGGGUGAGUUGAAGGGAAUUGGGGAGGGAGUAGAGUCUGUCCUGAGGAAACUCCUAUCACGGAGGUGAGGAGAAAGGACUGAGUGUUGGGUUGGGGCAGAAUGUAGGAAGACAGGAGCAAACUUCAGCCUGAAGAGUGGAGUUGGAGGGUGCAAGCUGUGCCCCCCCCCCCCCCGGGAAGAGGCCCUGAUUGGAGAGUCCCAGCAUGUGCCAAGGCACACAAGUAUGAUGCUGGCUUGGAAAUCUGCUCCUGUCUUAGGUUGCUGAGUCAGGGUAUGGUGGGAGAGAAAGGAAGCCUCAUCCACCAGUGGAGACCCAUCCUCCUCCUGUGUACUCAGGCGUUUGGACUGAUCUGUCAACAUCUCUUUGUCCUCCAGACCUCCCAUGGCAGAUCCUGAUAUGCCAAAAAAGCCUGGGACCAGAGGGCCAGAGUGGAAAGCCUGAUGACAGACCAGAUAGAUGGUUUUCCCCUCACCAAACCUCAAAGCCAGUUAGUGGCACCUUUCCCUCUGGGUCGGGGAGGCCUGCAUAAACCACUGUUCCCUUUUACUCACCCGGGCUAGUGUUAUGUCAAGACCAGACUUUAGAAACUCAUCUUUUACCACAAGCAGAUACUCAGUGGACUCAAAAUUACCUCCAAGUGCAAGAUGCCCUCAGAUGCUCCAGAAAACCUCCCUGAAGAAGCUCAGACUUGUCCCUUCAUGACCAGCAUAGGAUGAUGUGAGAAGCCUCUAGAGUUUGAUUUUCUUCCCUGAAGAUCCUUUCUUGUGGUGCUGCCCUUAUAGAGAAGUCAAAUUUGAUUCUUGGAAAUCAAAUUUGAAAUGUGUCUGUCAAGGAGCAGCACUUGGCUUUAUGCUGCUAAGAGUGUGCCCCGUCCUGCACAUCCUCAUCCAGAAUGUGGAAUUACCUUCAGAGCCUCUGGAAAGGAGUCAUCAUGACUUUGACCCUGAAUGGGAAGGGCAAAAGGAUGCUAGAAUUGAGUUUAAAAUGUACAAAGGUCAAGGUUCUUCAGUACCUGCUUUAAAAGCUAGACAAGCUCAGUCAUUAUGGAGAGGGACCCACUUCUCCUGAGUGGCUGCGUCAACAAGCUCCGUGGCAGCAAGUGAAUCCUCUGAAAAUUAAGUUUGCACCGAAAGACGAGAUGGCCCAUUUGCAGACACAGAUGGGCAGUGUUCGUCCUCGGGGUUGGAAGGCGGCCCCACAUCGGCUAGAUGGCCUUCUGUACUAAGCACCAGUCCCAGGCCCACCAGAACCAGGUGGUAUUCCCAAUCCACCCACAGCCCACGCAAGCCCAGACACAAGAAAUUAGCCAUCAUAAUAUUCUCUAUAUAUAUUUCUCUGGUGGUUUUGUGUCUUUAAAAAAUAUGUUUUUUUAUUUGUAUACCUCAGAAAUUAUCAAGUAUCUUUACAUUAAAAUAGGAAACUAGCUCAUGUA